Molecule: ribosomal RNA, 563 nt
Filed under: Escherichia coli
Lineage: Bacteria; Pseudomonadati; Pseudomonadota; Gammaproteobacteria; Enterobacterales; Enterobacteriaceae
Description: partial 23S ribosomal RNA
Rfam family: Bacterial large subunit ribosomal RNA
Source: RNAcentral
CGUGACGGCGCGAGCAGGUGCGAAAGCAGGUCAUAGUGAUCCGGUGGUUCUGAAUGGAAGGGCCAUCGCUCAACGGAUAAAAGGUACUCCGGGGAUAACAGGCUGAUACCGCCCAAGAGUUCAUAUCGACGGCGGUGUUUGGCACCUCGAUGUCGGCUCAUCACAUCCUGGGGCUGAAGUAGGUCCCAAGGGUAUGGCUGUUCGCCAUUUAAAGUGGUACGCGAGCUGGGUUUAGAACGUCGUGAGACAGUUCGGUCCCUAUCUGCCGUGGGCGCUGGAGAACUGAGGGGGGCUGCUCCUAGUACGAGAGGACCGGAGUGGACGCAUCACUGGUGUUCGGGUUGUCAUGCCAAUGGCACUGCCCGGUAGCUAAAUGCGGAAGAGAUAAGUGCUGAAAGCAUCUAAGCACGAAACUUGCCCCGAGAUGAGUUCUCCCUGACUCCUUGAGAGUCCUGAAGGAACGUUGAAGACGACGACGUUGAUAGGCCGGGUGUGUAAGCGCAGCGAUGCGUUGAGCUAACCGGUACUAAUGAACCGUGAGGCUUAACCUUACAACGCCGAAG